UGGGGAAUAUUGCACAAUGGGCGCAAGCCUGAUGCAGCCAUGCCGCGUGUAUGAAGAAGGCCUUCGGGUUGUAAAGUACUUUCAGCGAGGAGGAAGGCGGUAAGGUUAAUAACCUUAUCGAUUGACGUUACUCGCAGAAGAAGCACCGGCUAACUCCGUGCCAGCAGCCGCGGUAAUACGGAGGGUGCAAGCGUUAAUCGGAAUUACUGGGCGUAAAGCGCACGCAGGCGGUCUGUCAAGUCGGAUGUGAAAUCCCCGGGCUCAACCUGGGAACUGCAUUCGAAACUGGCAGGCUAGAGUCUUGUAGAGGGGGGUAGAAUUCCAGGUGUAGCGGUGAAAUGCGUAGAGAUCUGGAGGAAUACCGGUGGCGAAGGCGGCCCCCUGGACAAAGACUGACACUGAGGCUCGAAAGCGUGGGGAGCAAACA
Molecule: ribosomal RNA, 427 nt
Filed under: uncultured bacterium
Lineage: Bacteria
Description: partial 16S ribosomal RNA
Rfam family: Bacterial small subunit ribosomal RNA
Source: RNAcentral